CAGUAGCCGCGGUAAUACGUAGGUGGCAAGCGUUGUCCGGAAUUAUUGGGCGUAAAGGGCCCGCAGGCGGUUUCUUAAGUCUGAUGUGAAAGCCCCCGGCUCAACCGGGGAGGGUCAUUGGAAACUGGGAAACUUGAGUGCAGAAGAGGAGAGUGGAAUUCCACGUGUAGCGGUGAAAUGCGUAGAGAUGUGGAGGAACACCAGUGGCGAAGGCGACUCUCUGGUCUGUAACUGACGCUGAGGAGCGAAAGCGUGGGGAGCGAACAGGAUUAGAUACCCCGGUAGUCCCUGUCUCUUAUAC
This 301-nucleotide ribosomal RNA is filed under the name uncultured bacterium. Its description in RNAcentral is "partial 16S ribosomal RNA". It matches the Rfam family "Bacterial small subunit ribosomal RNA", at positions 509 to 807 of the family's 1533-position model. The record is from RNAcentral.